GAUGAAGAACGCAGCGAAAUGCGAUACGUAAUGUGAAUUGCAGAAUUCAGUGAAUCAUCGAGUCUUUGAACGCACAUUGCGCCCCCUGGUAUUCCGGGGGGCAUGCCUGUUCGAGCGUCAUUACAACCCUCAGGCCCCCGGGCCUGGCGUUGGGGAUCGGCGGAGCCCCCCGUGGGCACACGCCGUCCCCCAAAUACAGUGGCGGUCCCGCCGCAGCUUCCAUCGCGUAGUAGCUAACACCUCGCGACUGGAGAGCGGCGCGGCCACGCCGUAAAACACCCAACUCUUCUGAAGUUGACCUCGAAUCAGGUAGGAAUACCCGCUGAACUUAAGCAUAUCAAUAAGCGGAGGA
RNAcentral lists this unclassified non-coding RNA (352 nucleotides) under soil metagenome. RNAcentral describes it as "partial contains 5.8S ribosomal RNA, internal transcribed spacer 2, and large subunit ribosomal RNA". The stretch from base 1 to 120 matches the Rfam family "5.8S ribosomal RNA", at positions 35 to 154 of the family's 154-position model. The record is from RNAcentral.